AUUGAACGCUGGCGGCAGGCCUAACACAUGCAAGUCGAGCGGAUGAAGGGAGCUUGCUCCUGGAUUCAGCGGCGGACGGGUGAGUAAUGCCUAGGAAUCUGCCUGGUAGUGGGGGAUAACGUCCGGAAACGGGCGCUAAUACCGCAUACGUCCUGAGGGAGAAAGUGGGGGAUCUUCGGACCUCACGCUAUCAGAUGAGCCUAGGUCGGAUUAGCUAGUUGGUGGGGUAAAGGCCUACCAAGGCGACGAUCCGUAACUGGUCUGAGAGGAUGAUCAGUCACACUGGAACUGAGACACGGUCCAGACUCCUACGGGAGGCAGCAGUGGGGAAUAUUGGACAAUGGGCGAAAGCCUGAUCCGGCCAUGCCGCGUGUGUGAGGAAGGUCUUCGGAUUGUAAAGCACUUUAAGUUGGGAGGAAGGGCAGUAAGUUAAUACCUUGCUGUUUUGACGUUACCAACAGAAUAAGCACCGGCUAACUUCGUG
This 484-nucleotide ribosomal RNA is filed under the name uncultured bacterium. RNAcentral's name for it is "partial 16S ribosomal RNA". It matches the Rfam family "Bacterial small subunit ribosomal RNA", at positions 30 to 507 of the family's 1533-position model. The record is from RNAcentral.